GCAAAAAAAAAAAAAACUUUAUUUACCUCACCAAACCAGUCCGGUUCGCUUCUCUCUUAUCCACAACCUUACGCUGAUUCAAAGCUCGGAUCUGCUCUCUUUUUUUGUCCUUUGAUUCGAAACCAGUGGCUUGCUUCUCUUCGAUCCGGUUCAGGCGCGUUCCUUUUGCUCCGGUUCGGUUUGUUUUGCUUAGAUCCCGUUCGGUUUUGGUACUUUUAUGCUGAGUUGAGUUGACUCUGUUUGUUUAUGGUGAUUUACGUGAUGAUUUGAGUCAGUUUUAUGAGUUUUGGUGAUUAUGUUGAUGUUUGGAAGGUGUUAUGGAGAAUGAAUGUUCAUGAGUUCUUGAUUAGGGGAAAAAUUGAAAAUUCUGAGGCCAAGCCAUGAAUUAGUAAAUUACCAAAUUGCCCCUCUUAGGGGCAAAAGGUAAAAUCAAUUGACAUCACUUUCUAUAUUAGUAUAUAGAUACGGUUGUUGCAUCG
RNAcentral lists this long non-coding RNA (479 nucleotides) under Medicago truncatula (barrel medic). Its description in RNAcentral is "lncRNA gene36335". The record is from RNAcentral. Lineage: Eukaryota; Viridiplantae; Streptophyta; Magnoliopsida; Fabales; Fabaceae.